This 519-nucleotide ribosomal RNA is filed under the name uncultured eukaryote. Its description in RNAcentral is "SSU rRNA". It matches the Rfam family "Eukaryotic small subunit ribosomal RNA", at positions 1161 to 1699 of the family's 1831-position model. The record is from RNAcentral.
AGGGCACCACCAGGAGUGGAGCCUGCGGCUUAAUUUGACUCAACACGGGAAAACUUACCCGGCCUGGACACUGGAAGGAUUGACAGAUUGAGAGCUCUUUCUUGAUUCAGUGGGUGGUGGUGCAUGGCCGUUCUUAGUUGGUGGAGCGAUUUGUCUGGUUAAUUCCGAUAACGAACGAGGCUCUAGCCUAUUAAAUAGGCUCUCGGCUUUUAAACGCCGGGAGGACUUCUUAGAGGGACAGGUGGCGGUUCAGCCGCACGAAAGAGAGCAAUAACAGGUCUGUGAUGCCCUUUGUUGUCCGGGGCCGCACGCGCGCUACACUGAAGAGAUCAGCGUGCUUUACGUUCCUGCUCCGACCGGAGUGGGGAACCCAGUGAACCUUCUUCGUGAUUGGGAUAGAAGAUUGUAAUUAUUCUUCUUGAACGAGGAAUUCCCAGUAAAUGCGAGUCAUAAGCUCGCGUUGAUUACGUCCCUGCCCUUUGUACACACCGCCCGUCGCUACUACCGAUUGAACGAUUU